Molecule: non-coding RNA, 107 nt
Organism: Gossypium raimondii (Peruvian cotton)
Lineage: Eukaryota; Viridiplantae; Streptophyta; Magnoliopsida; Malvales; Malvaceae
Source: Rfam
AUCCCAUUAUGAGGACACUUACAAAGAAAUUCCUUGAAUCGUUCGCAUGCCUUAUAUAAGGACUCGUCUUCCAAUUGUUGGAAAGUAGUUACUCAUUUUCCAACUUU